RNAcentral lists this unclassified non-coding RNA (305 nucleotides) under plant metagenome. RNAcentral describes it as "partial contains 5.8S ribosomal RNA, internal transcribed spacer 2, and large subunit ribosomal RNA". The stretch from base 1 to 105 matches the Rfam family "5.8S ribosomal RNA", at positions 50 to 154 of the family's 154-position model. The record is from RNAcentral.
GAAAUGCGAUAAGUAGUGUGAAUUGCAGAAUUCAGUGAAUCAUCGAAUCUUUGAACGCACAUUGCGCCCUUUGGUAUUCCUUAGGGCAUGCCUGUUCGAGCGUCAUCUAAACCUUCAAGCCCUGCUUGGUGUUGGGUGCCUGUCCCGCCUCCGCGCGCGGACUCACCUCAAAUCCAUUGGCGGCCCCCGCGUCGGCCACGAGCGCAGCAGAAACGCGAACUCGUGAGCCCGUCCGGGCGGCUCCCAGAAGCUACACCCACCCAGUUUGACCUCGGAUCAGGUAGGGAUUCCCGCUGAACUUAAGC